Molecule: long non-coding RNA, 536 nt
Filed under: Olea europaea (common olive)
Lineage: Eukaryota; Viridiplantae; Streptophyta; Magnoliopsida; Lamiales; Oleaceae
Description: long non-coding RNA (OEUR_LNC004743)
Source: RNAcentral
UCGGAUCGUAUUGACGAAGGGAUAAUAGUUCCAUGAUAAACGAACGAUUUUGGUUUUGUCAUACCACGUGACAUUUUCCGUCACAUGUAUUGCCCUGACACAUUGCUAGAUGUCAAUCAGGGACGGCGAAUGUGAAUUGACGAUAAAUUAAAAGGGUGUAUUAAUUUAUCGAUUUUGAUUAGAUCAAAAUAAUAUUUCACGACGUUAGGCAUCGUGGUCGGGAACCUAAUGGGUCGCACACAAAAGAGAAUUGGAAGACUGCAAAUUGUUAAUUGAUUAAUUUAACAAUCGUUGGAUAAAUUAAUUAAUUGAAUUUCUUAUUUAUAAUCCCGAAUUAAUUAAUUGGAUUAAUUAAUUCACGGACCGGGUUUGAUUAAUUGGAUUAAUUAAAUAUUGGACCGGACCGGGCCGGGUCCGUUUGGGUUUAUAUAUAUAUGCAGCUAGGGUUUGAGGUCCAUUAAGUUAUUCAUUAUUCUUGCUAGCACAAGAAAGAAACCCUAGCAGUUGCUGUCUUCUCUCUGUGUGGAUUUCAUUGG